UGGGGAAUAUUGGACAAUGGGCGCAAGCCUGAUCCAGCCAUGCCGCGUGAGUGAUGAAGGCCUUAGGGUUGUAAAGCUCUUUCGCACGCGACGAUAAUGACGGUAGCGUGAGAAGAAGCCCCGGCUAACUUCGUGCCAGCAGCCGCGGUAAUACGAAGGGGGCUAGCGUUGUUCGGAAUCACUGGGCGUAAAGGGCGCGUAGGCGGCUUUGUAAGUCGGGGGUGAAAGCCUGUGGCUCAACCACAGAAUUGCCUUCGAUACUGCGAGGCUUGAGACCGGAAGAGGUUAGUGGAACUGCGAGUGUAGAGGUGAAAUUCGUAGAUACUCGCAAGAACACCAGUGGCGAAGGCGGCUGACUGGU
Molecule: ribosomal RNA, 361 nt
Filed under: uncultured bacterium
Lineage: Bacteria
Description: bacterial SSU rRNA
Rfam family: Bacterial small subunit ribosomal RNA
Source: RNAcentral